RNAcentral lists this ribosomal RNA (460 nucleotides) under uncultured bacterium. RNAcentral describes it as "partial 16S ribosomal RNA". It matches the Rfam family "Bacterial small subunit ribosomal RNA", at positions 338 to 795 of the family's 1533-position model. The record is from RNAcentral.
CCUACGGGUGGCUGCAGUGAGGAAUAUUGGUCAAUGGGCGGGAGCCUGAACCAGCCAAGCCGCGUGAAGGAAGAAGGCGCCAGGCGUCGUAAACUUCUUUUGUCGGGGAACAAAGGGCGCCACGCGUGGCGUUGUGAGUGUACCCGAAGAAAAAGCAUCGGCUAACUCCGUGCCAGCAGCCGCGGUAAUACGGAGGAUGCGAGCGUUAUCCGGAUUUAUUGGGUUUAAAGGGUGCGUAGGCCGCAUGUCAAGCGUGCUGUGAAAUGUCCGGGCUCAACCCGGGCCUUGCAGCGCGAACUGGCGUGCUUGAGUCCGCGGAAAGCAGGCGGAAUUCGUCGUGUAGCGGUGAAAUGCUUAGAUAUGACGAAGAACCCCGAUUGCGAAGGCAGCUUGCUGCAGCGGAACUGACGCUGAUGCUCGAAAGCGCGGGUAUCGAACAGGAUUAGAUACCCCGGUAGUC